UUGUACUAGGUUUUCUCAACAACUUCAAAUUCUAUCUUCAGUAUUCGCUAGACUGUGUAGUGGUAUUUCAACAAUUGGAUUUCAACUCAAGCGCAAUAAGGCAAAAUGUGGGACCAUUGUGCUCGUAAGUUUAAUUAUCUAUAAAAUUCAGAUCAAUUACUCAUUUUAGUUCCUUCAGUUUGUUAUGUUACCAACUUAGACCCUAAUAAAUUUAAAUUCCUAUUUUGGUACCCAAUUUUUGCAAUGUAGAACCAUGUUAUUCAUUCUGUCUUCACCCAUCUACUAAUGCUUCUCAAAUUUGGAUACAGGAAGGGUAAAUCAUUCUGGAAUUUACAAACAGAAUGGUAAGCAAAAACUAUUUGGGUACAACUAACAACCAUGUUGAUGGAAAAGAGCCAAAGAAUACUAUUGCCAAAACAGAUCCAAAAAUAAAGAAAGGGAAGAUGUGCCCAGAGAAGAAGUGGUUCACCCAAAGUAGAAAAAUGAAAGUAGGUUUAAUGUUUUCUAUAUUUUUUGAGACCAAUUAUAAAACUUUUGUUGUUUUUAAUAUACAUUGGUGGGGCUUCACUUUUGGUUUUAUAGUUUGGAGUUUCCUUCAAGAAUAAUUUCAGCUAGAUGUGAAGUGUGAACCUGUCUCAAAUGUCAAUUAGUUAGUGCAGUUUUUAUGUGUCAAUAAUGAUAUUCAACCACAUUAUGCCAAUUCGAGUGGAUGGGUCUAUCUUUGUUUUUCUGGUUGCUGUGUAUCUCACAACCCAUC
RNAcentral lists this long non-coding RNA (757 nucleotides) under Lupinus angustifolius (narrow-leaved blue lupine). RNAcentral's name for it is "long non-coding RNA (LANG_LNC003663)". Lineage: Eukaryota; Viridiplantae; Streptophyta; Magnoliopsida; Fabales; Fabaceae. The record is from RNAcentral.